Molecule: long non-coding RNA, 1279 nt
Organism: Hemiscyllium ocellatum (epaulette shark)
Lineage: Eukaryota; Metazoa; Chordata; Chondrichthyes; Orectolobiformes; Hemiscylliidae
Exons: 4
Source: RefSeq, a predicted model, not a curated record
UUAAGAUGACUGUUUUGAUUUCUUGCAGCUGGAAAGUUCUGGAAAGAGCAUUACAAGUAAUGACUGGUUCAAUGGUACACUUUUCAUCGAUAAAUCUGUUGGGAAAAACACGUUCUUUGUAAUUACAUGGGAGACUGAAACACCACAAAUGUUUAUCCGUGCUCCCAAUGGAAAGCUUUACAGAAACGGAAACUUUGAGAUGGACACAGUCCUGUUGACAGCUCGCCUUCCAAUUCCCGGCCUGGCACACGUGCUGAUGCUGUUAGAAAUGAUGGAGUUUAUUCUCGGUACUUUACUGAAUUUCUUGGUGAUGGGAGAUACACCAUUAAAGUAUCUGUACAAGGAAAAGAUGGAAUAGUGAGGUUAACAACCAGGAAGCAAAGCCAUGCCAUGUACAUCCCAGGAUUAGUACAAAAUGGUCAAAUUCACCACAACCCACCAAAGCCUCCAGUGGACCGUAACGAUUCUCAGAUACAAUUGGGAAGCUUCAAUAGAGUGAAAACAGCGGGAGCUGGUGUUGUUAGUCAGGUUCCUGCCGGAACUCCACCUGAUAUGUUUCCCCCAAGUAAAAUUAAGGAUCUCCGGACAGCAAUUGUUGGAGAUACAAUACAACUGAUCAAGGAACUGCUUCCUUUUAUGAAAUAAAGCUCAGCAAAAGCUUUGCACAGCUGCGGGAUGACUUUCCAAAUGCUCAAAGUGUAAACACGACAGACCUGAAGCCAAAGGUGGCUAACUCAGAGGAAUCGUUCACAGUAUCUGAGAACAUCGAGUUGAAAAAUGGGACAGUAAUCUACUUUGCAAUUCGGGCAUUUGAUAAAGGAAACCGGUCUUCGGCCUUAUCGAAUAUAGCGCAAGCUGCUUUAAUUUUGGCGAGUCCACCUCCCACAUCACAGCCAGUCCAAACCAUCGAACCAACACAACCUCAUAAUACUGUAGUCAUUAACAUUUCAGAAAUUCUUGUUAUUGUUGGUAUUGUUGUCAUCGUUGUCUCCUUGAUAAUUUCAAUCACUGUAUGUGUUGUGACUAAAAAACGUCAGGGCAGAGUAUCACCCAGUUAGGGAAUGUACAGCUAAAGCCAGAGAUAAUCAGCAACGUCAUCAAACUUCAACAGCAUUCAAUUUAUAAUGGUGCAACUUAAUUCAUGUUCAAAGUUUGUGGCCAAAAAAAUUGAACUUUAUGUGAAUAUUGAGCAUUCCUCCUGAUGUUGAGCUGAGAUUGUGUCACACCAAACAGUAAUGGUGUUUAAAUCCAACCUGUAUAAAUUAAAUGUACAAGUGAA